Molecule: non-coding RNA, 95 nt
Filed under: unclassified sequences
Source: RNAcentral
GGGCGGCAGCAGUAGCCGCCCGGCAAUUAAAGCAGCCACGAUCCGCCCGCGGGAGAUUGUGAAGGUCCGAAGCCCUUGUAAAUGCUGACGGGUUG